Carcharodon carcharias (great white shark) is the source of this 114-nucleotide small nuclear RNA. RefSeq annotates it as U5 spliceosomal RNA. Lineage: Eukaryota; Metazoa; Chordata; Chondrichthyes; Lamniformes; Lamnidae. The record is from RefSeq and is a predicted model, not a curated record. The transcript has a single exon.
GUACUCUGGUUUCUCUUCAGAUCGUAUAAAUCUUUCGCCUUUUACUAAAGAUUUCCGUGGAGAGGAACACUCGGAGUUUUAAUUAAUUUUUUGAUGCCCUGCUAUCGCGGGGCU